Molecule: ribosomal RNA, 636 nt
Filed under: Bacillus sp. LG07
Lineage: Bacteria; Bacillati; Bacillota; Bacilli; Caryophanales; Bacillaceae
Description: bacterial SSU rRNA
Rfam family: Bacterial small subunit ribosomal RNA
Source: RNAcentral
CGCUGUCACUUAUGGAUGGACCCGCGUCGCAUUAGCUAGUUGGUGAGGUAACGGCUCACCAAGGCAACGAUGCGUAGCCGACCUGAGAGGGUGAUCGGCCACACUGGGACUGAGACACGGCCCAGACUCCUACGGGAGGCAGCAGUAGGGAAUCUUCCGCAAUGGACGAAAGUCUGACGGAGCAACGCCGCGUGAGUGAUGAAGGCUUUCGGGUCGUAAAACUCUGUUGUUAGGGAAGAACAAGUGCUAGUUGAAUAAGCUGGCACCUUGACGGUACCUAACCAGAAAGCCACGGCUAACUACGUGCCAGCAGCCGCGGUAAUACGUAGGUGGCAAGCGUUAUCCGGAAUUAUUGGGCGUAAAGCGCGCGCAGGUGGUUUCUUAAGUCUGAUGUGAAAGCCCACGGCUCAACCGUGGAGGGUCAUUGGAAACUGGGAGACUUGAGUGCAGAAGAGGAAAGUGGAAUUCCAUGUGUAGCGGUGAAAUGCGUAGAGAUAUGGAGGAACAGUACAGUAGAGCUGAUCGUGGCUCAGAAGGUCGUAACAAGGUACCCAGUAGAGUUUGAUCGUGGCUCAGUGAGUCGCACCAAGGGUCCCAUGCCCAUAAGACUGGGAUAACUCCGGGAAACCGGGGCUA